RNAcentral lists this ribosomal RNA (232 nucleotides) under uncultured bacterium. RNAcentral describes it as "partial 16S ribosomal RNA". It matches the Rfam family "Bacterial small subunit ribosomal RNA", at positions 338 to 584 of the family's 1533-position model. The record is from RNAcentral.
CCUACGGGGCGCAGCAGUGGGGAAUAUUGGGCAAUGGGCGCAAGCCUGACCCAGCAACGCCGCGUGAAGGAAGAAGGCUUUCGGGUUGUAAACUUCUUUUAUCAGGGACGAAGCAAGAGACGGUACCUGAUGAAUAAGCCACGGCUAACUACGUGCCAGCAGCCGCGGUAAUACGUAGGUGGCAAGCGUUAUCCGGAUUUACUUAGUGUAAAGGGCGUGUAGGCGGGAGUGC